GUCCCCAUCGUCUAGUUGGCCCAGGACUCCGGAUUUUCAUUCCGGCAACAGGGGUUCAAAUCCCCUUGGGGACG
This 74-nucleotide transfer RNA is filed under the name Deltaproteobacteria bacterium. Its description in RNAcentral is "tRNA-Glu". It matches the Rfam family "tRNA". Rfam says of the family: Transfer RNA (tRNA) molecules are approximately 80 nucleotides in length. Their secondary structure includes four short double-helical elements and three loops (D, anti-codon, and T loops). Further hydrogen bonds mediate the characteristic L-shaped molecular structure. tRNAs have two regions of fundamental functional importance: the anti-codon, which is responsible for specific mRNA codon recognition, and the 3' end, to which the tRNAs corresponding amino acid is attached (by aminoacyl-tRNA synthetases). tRNAs cope with the degeneracy of the genetic code in two manners: having more than one tRNA (with a specific anti-codon) for a particular amino acid; and 'wobble' base-pairing, i.e. permitting non-standard base-pairing at the 3rd anti-codon position. Lineage: Bacteria; Pseudomonadati; Myxococcota; Myxococcia. The record is from RNAcentral.